RNAcentral lists this ribosomal RNA (497 nucleotides) under uncultured bacterium. RNAcentral's name for it is "partial 16S ribosomal RNA". It matches the Rfam family "Bacterial small subunit ribosomal RNA", at positions 28 to 507 of the family's 1533-position model. The record is from RNAcentral.
GAUGAACGCUGGCGGCGUGCCUAAUACAUGCAAGUCGAGCGAACAGACGAGGAGCUUGCUCCUCUGACGUUAGCGGCGGACGGGUGAGUAACACGUGGAUAACCUACCUAUAAGACUGGGAUAACUUCGGGAAACCGGAGCUAAUACCGGAUAAUAUAUUGAACCGCAUGGUUCAAUAGUGAAAGACGGUUUUGCUGUCACUUAUAGAUGGAUCCGCGCCGCAUUAGCUAGUUGGUAAGGUAACGGCUUACCAAGGCAACGAUGCGUAGCCGACCUGAGAGGGUGAUAGGCCACACUGGAACUGAGACACGGUCCAGACUCCUACGGGAGGCAGCAGUAGGGAAUCUUCCGCAAUGGGCGAAAGCCUGACGGAGCAACGCCGCGUGAGUGAUGAAGGUCUUGGGAUCGUAAAACUCUGUUAUUAGGGAAGAACAAAUGUGUAAGUAACUAUGCACGUCUUGACGGUAACUAAUAAGAAAGCCACGGCUAACUACGUG